GGACCGCAUGGCUAAGGGACCUGGCUGCCCUGCCUGCUGGGGGCUGGCUCUCUGCUGUCACCGCUGCUGGUCCCCUCCACGCCACAGACGCGCUCCAGAAUGGAGACGAAGCGCGCGGACGGCGGACGGACCGGACGGCUCCUCCCCCAGCCAGGCUGCUCCGCCAGCUCCGGACGGCUCCUCCCCAGCCAGGCUGCUCCGCCAGCUCCGGGAGGGCGCUCACCGGCUGCUGUCAGCACAGGGGCCCUUGGGGAGGGUGCCUGGCCGCUCCCGUGCCUCCUCCCGGGCACACGGCGCCGUGUGGAGGAGCGCCGGGCUUUGCUCGCUCGGCCCAGACUCCUCUCCAGCCGGCGCUCGGCCGCCGAGGUGCACAGGCUGGGCUGGCUCUGCCUCCUCGCCCCGCUGGCCGGAGCAGGGUGGGGGUCGGAACCUGGGCCGGAAGCAAAGUCCGCUGCUGCGCCUUUUCCUUGCGGGGAGGCCUGGGUGGCCCCGAGGGCUCCCCCUCCUGAGGGGCUCCCCCACCACCUCAAGCUCCUCGCUGAGCGCAGCAGCCACUCAGGCAGUGCUGGCCGGCCGAGCGGGCCCUGUGAGAGCAGCGCGUGUGACACCUUGUCGGUGUCGGCUCCUGGAUCUGUGUAAUUAGCACGGCUGCUCUGGCCGGGGCGAUGCUGUCUGUGGCGGUCAGAGCAGGAAGACAGCUCCCUGUCUGCAGACUGGAUCGGGCCAUCGCACGGUCUCAGACUCCUCUCCUGGCUUAGGGACCAGGGUGCCGACCACAGCCCCGUGGAUAGGAGGAGAACUGCAGCGGCCAGCCAGACUCUAUGACCGUCCCUGUGACUGCCUGGCCUGCCCUUCCCUGGAGAGCCCAGCAGCAUCGGCAGGGACACAGUGAGGCCAGAGGGCUCCCAGCUCACAGAGGAGGUAGCAGCAGCAGAUGCCACUGUGAAGAGAACAGAUAAAGCGUCCAGAGUCCUCACAAAAAAUUCGAGAGGACUUUGAGUGGGACCCUUCGGCUGUAGGGGCUGGAUCUUGAAGAACACAUAGAACACGGGAAGCGCAGUGGUUUAAGUGCAUGAACCCGAAGCCGGA
RNAcentral lists this long non-coding RNA (1089 nucleotides) under Heterocephalus glaber (naked mole-rat). Its description in RNAcentral is "lncRNA (ENSHGLG00000050343.1)". Lineage: Eukaryota; Metazoa; Chordata; Mammalia; Rodentia; Bathyergidae. The record is from RNAcentral.